UAUUAUCUCUUCUUUAUUUUGCAUUCUACAUUUGUUCAAGUUAUCUUUCUUCUAUAAAAUAAUUCUAUUUCCGCUGUACUUGUAUGCCAUAUGGGUUGAGAUGUACUCGAGUAUUCCUCGAUCGGUCUUUUCAAUAGUUUCAAUAAUUACGACUAUUAAGAAAUAACUACUAUUUGAAUAUCAUAUGUUUAAAAUUAAUAACUGAUUUUUUUGAUUUUAAAAAUCAAAAAAAUAAAUAUCUUUAACAGACAAAUAAAGAUUCAAAUUGCCGAGUGCCAUAUGCCAUC
RNAcentral lists this long non-coding RNA (287 nucleotides) under Elaeis guineensis (African oil palm). RNAcentral's name for it is "long non-coding RNA (EGUI_LNC022927)". Lineage: Eukaryota; Viridiplantae; Streptophyta; Magnoliopsida; Arecales; Arecaceae. The record is from RNAcentral.